This is a long non-coding RNA of Arabidopsis lyrata subsp. lyrata, 573 nucleotides long. RefSeq lists it as uncharacterized. The transcript has 2 exons. The record is from RefSeq and is a predicted model, not a curated record. Lineage: Eukaryota; Viridiplantae; Streptophyta; Magnoliopsida; Brassicales; Brassicaceae.
AUGGUCACAAUUUGAAAAUUGGGGGAUUAAAUGACAUUUUUCCCAAUACAGCUCAGCUUAAAAUUUGCCAAGGUGGAGACAUAAUUGUUUUCUCUCCUGCAUCUUCUUCUUUUCCGCGAGAUGAUAAACUCGAUCGGAGAUGUUUUUGAUUGAAGAAUUAAGAAGUCUGAAAUUGGUAGAUCGCAGCUAUGUACUCCGACUCCGAUUUGCCGCCUCAGGCUGACGAGAGCCCGCAUGGGACUUAGCAAGAGCUGAUGUCCAUAAACGCAAUUGUCUUCUCUCCUGCGCAUCUUCUUCUAUAUAUGUGACGAAGGCGGACAUUCUUUGCAAAUUCUAGGUCGUAAAUGUUUAUGAACCUCUCCGCAUAAGGAAGACAAGGAGCAAUCAAUCCUCCUCUACGCAUGCCGUAAUUGUGAUCCCCAUGUAUCUUAUAAGACUCUUCUUAUUUAUGUUUGAUUUCAUAAAAUUAGGAUUCCAUAGUGUUAAAUUGUUAAUGGCACAUUGUGGUGUUGAAUCGGUGAAUGAUAUUAGACCUUUAUCGUCUUGAUAAAAAGCUAUGGCUGAAACUAAUAU